GACAGAGGAUGCAAGCGUUAUCCGGAAUCAUUGGGCGUAAAGCGCGUGUAGGCGGUCCGGUAAGUCCGCUGUGAAAGUCGAGGGCUCAACCCUCGAAUGCCGGUGGAUACUGUCGGGCUAGAGUACGGAAGAGGCGAGUGGAAUUCCUGGUGUAGCGGUGAAAUGCGCAGAUAUCAGGAGGAACACCAAUUGCGAAGGCAGCUCGCUGGAACGUAACUGACGCUGAGACGCGAAAGCGUGGGGAGCAAACAGG
This 253-nucleotide ribosomal RNA is filed under the name uncultured bacterium. RNAcentral describes it as "partial 16S ribosomal RNA". It matches the Rfam family "Bacterial small subunit ribosomal RNA", at positions 524 to 776 of the family's 1533-position model. The record is from RNAcentral.